RNAcentral lists this ribosomal RNA (481 nucleotides) under uncultured bacterium. RNAcentral's name for it is "partial 16S ribosomal RNA". It matches the Rfam family "Bacterial small subunit ribosomal RNA", at positions 30 to 507 of the family's 1533-position model. The record is from RNAcentral.
AUUGAACGCUGGCGGCAUGCUUACACAUGCAAGUCGAACGGUAACAGGCCGCAAGGUGCUGACGAGUGGCGAACGGGUGAGUAAUGCAUCGGAACGUGCCCAGGCGUGGGGGAUAACUACUCGAAAGAGUAGCUAAUACCGCAUACGAUCUAUGGAUGAAAGCGGGGGACCGGAAGGCCUCGCGCGAUUUGAGCGGCCGAUGUCAGAUUAGGUAGUUGGUGGGGUAAAGGCUCACCAAGCCAACGAUCUGUAGCUGGUCUGAGAGGACGACCAGCCACACUGGGACUGAGACACGGCCCAGACUCCUACGGGAGGCAGCAGUGGGGAAUUUUGGACAAUGGGCGCAAGCCUGAUCCAGCAAUGCCGCGUGCAGGAAGAAGGCCUUCGGGUUGUAAACUGCUUUUGUACGGAACGAAACGGCUCUGGUUAAUACCCGGGGCUAAUGACGGUACCGUAAGAAUAAGCACCGGCUAACUACGUG